Thalassophryne amazonica is the source of this 167-nucleotide long non-coding RNA. RefSeq lists it as uncharacterized. The record is from RefSeq and is a predicted model, not a curated record. The transcript is spliced from 3 exons. Lineage: Eukaryota; Metazoa; Chordata; Actinopteri; Batrachoidiformes; Batrachoididae.
UGUGAAUGUGUUUGUUUGUCUAUAUGUGGUCCUGUGACAGACUUGCGUCCUGUCCAGGGUGUACCCUGCCUCACGCCCUAUGACUGCCGGGAUAGGCUCCAGCCCCCCGCAACCUAAUCUUGGAUAAGUGGUCGAAAAGGAGUGUGUGUAUUAUCCAAAUGAACUGG